AUACCUUUUUUUUAUACGUAAUCUUUUGCAAUAAGUCUUACCUUGGAGCACUGUCGUAAUACGUGAAGUCUUGCUUGAGAAUGCUCUGAGCACCUGGCUGUAGAAGGAAGAAUGGAAAUUGUAAUAACAAAAUCUUAAUUCUAAUAGAAUAAUAACAAUGCUCUAAUUAGACUAUAAUAAUACUAAGCAAGCUUAAUCAAAUUCAAAAAACCUCAAAGAAAUUUAAAAAAAAAAUAGGAAUUUUUAAAGAAACAUUAGAAAGAACACAAAUGUCAUUCAAAUACAUCUCAAUUCAAUCUUAAUUUAAUUCUAGUUAAAAUCCUAUUGAACUUCAUUCAGACUUUAGGCCAAAACUAAUUGAAUCUUAAAUCCUAAUAAAAUCCUAAAUCCUAAAUCAAACCUCAAUAAAAUCCUAAAUCAAAUCCUAAUCCAAACCCUAAAUCCUAAACCAAAUCCUAAAUCCUAAAUCAAAUCUUAACCAAAUCCUAAACCCUAAACCAAACCCUAAUCAAAUCCUAAACCCUAAAUCAAAUUCUAUCCAAAUCCUAAAUCCUAAACCAAAUCCUAACCAAAUUCUAAAUCUUAAAUCAAACCCUAAUCCAAAUCCUAAACUCCAAACCAAAUCUUAACCAAAUCCUAAACCAAAUCCUAAUAAUUCCUAUAACAGAUUUAAACCUCAAUAACUAAUGAAUAAAUUGUUGAUCUUAACUCAAAU
RNAcentral lists this long non-coding RNA (715 nucleotides) under Physcomitrium patens. Its description in RNAcentral is "long non-coding RNA (PPAT_LNC003514)". Lineage: Eukaryota; Viridiplantae; Streptophyta; Bryopsida; Funariales; Funariaceae. The record is from RNAcentral.